UAAAGAAAUAAAGAGCGCACAGGGGAUGCCUUGGCACCAACAGCCGAUGAAGGACGCAACUAACAGCGAAAUGCUACGGGGAGCAGUAAGUACGCAAAGAUCCGUAGAUAUCCGAAUGGGGGAACCCACUAGAAAGAAGUUCUAGUAUCAUAUACUGAAUCAAUAGGUAUAUGAGGGAAGACCCGGAGAACUGAAACAUCUUAGUACCCGGAGGAAAAGAAAGCAAAAGCGAUUCCGUAAGUAGAGGCGAUUGAAAGCGGAACAGCCCGUUGUCCACUUGAGUUACAAAACUUUAUUGUAGUAGAAAUGUAUUGGAAAAGCAUAGCGAAGAGGGUGAAACUCCCGUACACGAAACGAUAAAGACUCAGGACACGAUGAGUAGGGCGGAGCACGUGGAAUUCUGUCUGAAUAUGCGAGGACCAUCUCGUAAGGCUAAAUACUCGUUGGUGACCGAUAGUGAACCAGUACUGUGAAGGAAAGGUGAAAAGAACCCCUGGCGGGGAGUGAAAAGAACCUGAAACUGUGUGCUUACAAUCAGUUAGAGCCCGUUAAUGGGUGAUAGCGUGCCUUUUGUAGAAUGAGCCGGCGAGUUACGUUAGUUUGCAAGGUUAAGCUUAAAGGAGCGGAGCCGAAGCGAAAGCGAGUCUUAAUAGGGCGAUGUAGUAGGCUGACGUAGACCCGAAACCGGGUGAUCUAGCCAUGAUCAGGUUGAAGCUUGGGUAAAACCAGGUGGAGGACCGAACCAGGGUUCGUUGAAAAGAACUUGGAUGAAUUGUGGCUAGGGGUGAAAUUCCAAUCGAACCCGGAGAUAGCUGGUUCUCCCCGAAAUAGCUCUAGGGCUAGCGUUGUGGUAAGAGUUAUACGCAGGUAGAGCACUGAAUGGGUGAUGGCCUCACCUCGAGGUACUGAUCUCAAUCAAACUCCGAAUGGCGUAUAACAUACAUAGCAGUAAGACUACGGGUGAUAAGGUCCGUGGUCUAAAGGGAAACAGCCCAGACCGCCAGUUAAGGUCCCAAAAUCAUGCUAAGUGGGAAAGGAUGUGGAAUCGCACAAACAACUAGGAGGUUGGCUCAGAAGCAGCCAUCCUUUAAAGAGUGCGUAAUAGCUCACUAGUCGAGUGGUUCUGCGCCGAAAAUGUAUCGGGGCUAAGCAUGAUACCGAAGCUGCGGAAUAGGACGAAAGUUUUAUUGGUAGGGGAGCGUACUUAACGCGUUGAAGGUUGACCGGAAGGACAGCUGGAGUGUUGAGCAGUGAGAAUGCCGGUGUGAGUAGCGAUAAGACGGGUGAGAAUCCCGUCCGUCGGAAGCCUAAGGUUUCCAGGGGUAAGGCUCGUCCGCCCUGGGUAAGCCGGGGCCUAAGGUGAGGCUGAAAAGCGUAGCCGAUGGAUAACAGGUUGAUAUUCCUGUGCUACCAUAUAUUUGACGGAGUGACGGAGGAGGCUAAUCUUAGCCAAUUAUUGGAUUUUGGUUCAACCACAAAGAGGGAACUUGGAGGCAAAUCCCUAAGUUUUUAACCUUGAAAUGGGAGCACGUAAGUAAGACCAUGCCACACUUCCAAGAAAAGCUUCUAAAGAUACGUAUAUGGUACCCGUACCGUAAACGGACACACGUAGGCGAGGAGAGAAUCCACAGACGCGCGAGAUAAUUCUUGUUAAGGAACUCUGCAAAAUUACCCUGUAACUUCGGAAUAAAGGGGGCUCCGAAAGGAGACGCAGAAAAUAGGCCCAAGCGACUGUUUAACAAAAACAUAGGUCUCUGCUAAACCGUAAGGUGAUGUAUAGGGGCUGACGCCUGCCCAGUGCUGGAAGGUUAAGAGGAGAUGUUAGCGCAAGCGAAGCAUUGAAUUGAAGCCCCAGUAAACGGCGGCCGUAACUAUAACGGUCCUAAGGUAGCGAAAUUCCUUGUCAGGUAAGUUCUGACCCGCACGAA
Molecule: ribosomal RNA, 1928 nt
Filed under: gut metagenome
Description: bacterial LSU rRNA
Rfam family: Bacterial large subunit ribosomal RNA
Source: RNAcentral